UCACUAAGUCAACCAACCCAA
Molecule: non-coding RNA, 21 nt
Filed under: Caenorhabditis elegans
Lineage: Eukaryota; Metazoa; Nematoda; Chromadorea; Rhabditida; Rhabditidae
Source: RNAcentral